Molecule: ribosomal RNA, 291 nt
Filed under: uncultured bacterium
Lineage: Bacteria
Description: partial 16S ribosomal RNA
Rfam family: Bacterial small subunit ribosomal RNA
Source: RNAcentral
CCAUCCUACGGGGGGCAGCAGUGGGGAAUAUUGCACAAUGGGCGAAAGCCUGAUGCAGCGACGCCGCGUGAAGGAUGAAGUAUUUCGGUAUGUAAACUUCUAUCAGCAGGGAAGAAAAUGACGGUACCUGACUAAGAAGCCCCGGCUAACUACGUGCCAGCAGCCGCGGUAAUACGUAGGGGGCAAGCGUUAUCCGGAUUUACUGGGUGUAAAGGGAGCGUAGACGGCUGAGCAAGUCUGAAGUGAAAGGCGGGGGCCCAACCCCCGGACUGCUUUGGAAACUGUAUAGCU